CAGCCACCGCGGUCAUACGAUUAACCCAAGCUAACAGGAGUACGGCGUAAAACGUGUUAAAGCACCAUACCAAAUAGGGUUAAAUUCUAACUAAGCUGUAAAAA
Molecule: ribosomal RNA, 104 nt
Filed under: Bos taurus (domestic cattle)
Lineage: Eukaryota; Metazoa; Chordata; Mammalia; Artiodactyla; Bovidae
Description: partial 12S ribosomal RNA
Source: RNAcentral